ACUCAAAUGAAUAGACGGGGACCCGCACAAGCAGCGGAGCAUGUGGUUUAAUUCGAAGCAACGCGAAAAACCUUACCAAGACUUGACAUCCUAUGCCAACCCCCGAAAAGGGGCUUUCCUUCGGGACAUAGAGACAGGUGUUGCAUGGUUGUCGUCAGCUCGUGUCGUGAGAUGUUGGGUUAAGUCCCGCAACGAGCGCAACCCUUAUCAUUAGUUGCCAAUAUUUAGUUAGGAACUCUAGUGAGACUGCCGUAGAUAAUACGGAGGAAGGUGGGGAUGACGUCAAAUCAUCAUGGCCCUUACGUCUUGGGCUACACACGUGCUACAAUGGCUAUUACAAAGGGCAGCGAUACCGCAAGGUGGAGCGAAUCCCAAAAAGAUAGUCUCAGUUCGGAUUGAGGGCUGAAACCCGCCCUCAUGAAGUCGGAGUUGCUAGUAAUCCCGAAUCAGCAUGUCGGGGUGAAUGCGUUCCCGGGUCUUGUACACACCGCCCGU
RNAcentral lists this ribosomal RNA (495 nucleotides) under uncultured bacterium. RNAcentral's name for it is "bacterial SSU rRNA". It matches the Rfam family "Bacterial small subunit ribosomal RNA", at positions 899 to 1397 of the family's 1533-position model. The record is from RNAcentral.